This 251-nucleotide ribosomal RNA is filed under the name uncultured bacterium. RNAcentral describes it as "partial 16S ribosomal RNA". It matches the Rfam family "Bacterial small subunit ribosomal RNA", at positions 524 to 776 of the family's 1533-position model. The record is from RNAcentral.
UACGUAGGCAGCGAGCGUUGUUCGGAGUUACUGGGCGUAAAGGGUGUCGUAGGCGGUUGUUUAAGUUUGGUGUGAAAUCUCCCGGCUCAACUGGGAGGUGCGCCGAAUACUGAAGUGCUGAGUGCGGGAGAGGAGAGUGGAAUUCCUGGUGUAGCGGUGAAAUGCGUAGAUAUCAGGAGGAACACCGGUGGUGUAGACGGCUCUCUGGACCGUAACUGACGCUGAGACACGAAAGCGUGGUAGCAAACAGG